GCGGGGCCGGGGCGCGGGGCCGGGGCGCGUGACCCAGUGACCGGUCGUCCCAGAGCGGUGCGGGGCGCGUCGCCGUCUCAGGGUGCGAGGUGCGUGCGGGCUCCUGGCUGUCGGUUCGGACUCUCCAGCCACAACAUGUUUAACGGCCAGUCUCUUGAGCAUAUAAAGAGACUGAAAACUGCUUGAUGACAAGAGACCACGCCUGUCUUGUUCUUACUGUGUUCACAGCACCUAGCCAGUGCCUAGAGGAUAGCGUUAAAAUUUUAUUUUGGGGCUUCCCACCACUGGUGGCGCAGUGGUUAAGAAUCCUCCUGCCAAUGCAGGCGACACGGGUUCGAGCCCUGGUCCGGGAAAAUCCCACAUGCCACGGAGCAACUAAGACCGUGAACCACAACUACUGAGCCUGUGCUCUAGAGCCUGUGAGCCACAACUACUGAGACCACGUGCCCCAACUACUGAAGCCCACGCACCUAGAGCCAGUGCUCUGCAACAAGACAAGCCACCAUAAUGAGAAGCCCACGCGCCACAACGAAGAGUAGCCCCCGCUCGCCACAGCUAGAGAAAGCCCGCGUGCAGCAACGAAGACCCAAGGCAGCCAAAAAUUUAAAAAAUUAAAAAUUUUUAAAAACAGAAGGUAUGCGCAUGCAUUGUUUUAAAAAAUUUUAUUUUCAA
Long non-coding RNA from Lagenorhynchus albirostris (white-beaked dolphin), 672 nucleotides. RefSeq lists it as uncharacterized. The transcript is spliced from 3 exons. Lineage: Eukaryota; Metazoa; Chordata; Mammalia; Artiodactyla; Delphinidae. The record is from RefSeq and is a predicted model, not a curated record.